ACAUGCAAGUCGAGCGAAUGGAUUGAGAGCUUGCUCUCAAGAAGUUAGCGGCGGACGGGUGAGUAACACGUGGGUAACCUGCCCAUAAGACUGGGAUAACUCCGGGAAACCGGGGCUAAUACCGGAUAACAUUUUGAACUGCAUGGUUCGAAAUUGAAAGGCGGCUUCGGCUGUCACUUAUGGAUGGACCCGCGUCGCAUUAGCUAGUUGGUGAGGUAACGGCUCACCAAGGCAACGAUGCGUAGCCGACCUGAGAGGGUGAUCGGCCACACUGGGACUGAGACACGGCCCAGACUCCUACGGGAGGCAGCAGUAGGGAAUCUUCCGCAAUGGACGAAAGUCUGACGGAGCAACGCCGCGUGAGUGAUGAAGGCUUUCGGGUCGUAAAACUCUGUUGUUAGGGAAGAACAAGUGCUAGUUGAAUAAGCUGGCACCUUGACGGUACCUAACCAGAAAGCCACGGCUAACUACGUGCCAGCAGCCGCGGUAAUACGUAGGUGGCAAGCGUUAUCCGGAAUUAUUGGGCGUAAAGCGCGCGCAGGUGGUUUCUUAAGUCUGAUGUGAAAGCCCACGGCUCAACCGUGGAGGGUCAUUGGAAACUGGGAGACUUGAGUGCAGAAGAGGAAAGUGGAAUUCCAUGUGUAGCGGUGAAAUGCGUAGAAAUAUGGAGGAACACCAGUGGCGAAGGCGACUUUCUGGUCUGUAACUGACAC
RNAcentral lists this ribosomal RNA (713 nucleotides) under Bacillus thuringiensis. RNAcentral's name for it is "bacterial SSU rRNA". It matches the Rfam family "Bacterial small subunit ribosomal RNA", at positions 53 to 746 of the family's 1533-position model. Lineage: Bacteria; Bacillati; Bacillota; Bacilli; Caryophanales; Bacillaceae. The record is from RNAcentral.